CGUUCCCGGGCCUUGUACACACCGCCCGUCACACCACGAGAGUUUGUAACACCCGAAGUCGGUGGGGUAACCGUAAGGAGCCAGCCGCCUAAGGUGGACAGAUGAUUGGGGUG
Molecule: ribosomal RNA, 113 nt
Filed under: uncultured bacterium
Lineage: Bacteria
Description: partial 16S ribosomal RNA
Rfam family: Bacterial small subunit ribosomal RNA
Source: RNAcentral